This 253-nucleotide ribosomal RNA is filed under the name uncultured bacterium. RNAcentral's name for it is "partial 16S ribosomal RNA". It matches the Rfam family "Bacterial small subunit ribosomal RNA", at positions 524 to 776 of the family's 1533-position model. The record is from RNAcentral.
UACGAAGGGUGCAAACGUUGCUCGGAAUCAUUGGGCGUAAAGCGCACGUAGGCGGUUCGUUAAGUCGGAUGUGAAAGCCCUCGGCUCAACCGAGGAAGGGCAUCCGAAACUGGCGUGCUUGAGUAUGGAAGAGGGUCUCGGAAUUCCCGGUGUAGAGGUGAAAUUCGUAGAUAUCGGGAGGAACACCAGUGGCGAAGGCGGAGACCUGGGCCAAUACUGACGCUGAGGUGCGAAAGCGUGGGGAGCAAACAGG